Molecule: long non-coding RNA, 289 nt
Filed under: Trifolium pratense (red clover)
Lineage: Eukaryota; Viridiplantae; Streptophyta; Magnoliopsida; Fabales; Fabaceae
Description: long non-coding RNA (TPRA_LNC000680)
Source: RNAcentral
AGUAGUAAACAAAAAUCAAAUCCAAUGGUAAGCAAAAAUCAACAGAAAAUAGAGACAUCUAGAUCUAACAAAAUCAGAUUUUGGGAUUUUGUUUUGUUUGUUUAGAUUUUGUGUUUUUUGGGUUUGAUUUGUGUUUAAAACUGUUAAAUAAGUGUUUUUAAAGGUGAUUUGGGGAUUUUUUUUUUUUGAGUUUUUAGGGAUACUUUGUUUAGAUUUGGUGAUUUGAGGAUUUUUUUUUUCUUGAACUAGUGAGAGAAGAGAAGAGAGAGCGUGAUAGUGAGAGAAGAGA